Molecule: ribosomal RNA, 265 nt
Filed under: uncultured bacterium
Lineage: Bacteria
Description: partial 16S ribosomal RNA
Rfam family: Bacterial small subunit ribosomal RNA
Source: RNAcentral
CCGGCGACCGGCGCACGGGUGAGUAACACGUAUGCAACCUGCCCUCUUCAGGGGGACAACCUUCCGAAAGGGAGGCUAAUCCCGCGUAUAUCGGUUUCGGGCAUCCGAGAUCGAGGAAAGAUUCNUCGGAAGAGGAUGGGCAUGCGGCGCAUUAGCUAGACGGCGGGGUAACGGCCCACCGUGGCGACGAUGCGUAGGGGUUCUGAGAGGAAGGUCCCCCACACUGGUACUGAGACACGGACCAGACUCCUACGGGAGGCAGCAG